Molecule: ribosomal RNA, 433 nt
Filed under: uncultured bacterium
Lineage: Bacteria
Description: partial 16S ribosomal RNA
Rfam family: Bacterial small subunit ribosomal RNA
Source: RNAcentral
AACGAACGCUGGCGGCAGGCUUAACACAUGCAAGUCGAACGCACCUUUCGGGGUGAGUGGCAGACGGGUGUGUAACGCGUGGGAAUCUACCCUUCUCUACGGGAUAGCUCUGGGAAAUUGGAAUUAAUACCGUAUACGUCCUGAGGGUGAAAGAUUUAUCGAGGAAGGAUGAGCCCGCGUUGGAUUAGCUUGUGGGUGGGGUAAAGGCCUACCAAGGCGACGAUCCAUAGCUGGUCUAAGAGGAUGAGCAGCCACAUUGGGACUGAGACACGGCCCAAACUCCUACGGGAGGCGGCAGUGGGGAAUAUUGGACAAUGGGCGCAAGCCUGAUCCAGCCAUGCCGCGUGAGUGAUGAAGGCCCUAGGGUUGUAAAGCUCUUUCAGUGGGGACGAUAAUGACGGUACCCACAGAAGAAGCCCCGGCUAACUUCGUG